RNAcentral lists this ribosomal RNA (24 nucleotides) under Paruroctonus becki. RNAcentral describes it as "partial 5.8S ribosomal RNA". RNAcentral also lists the same sequence under 1 other name. Lineage: Eukaryota; Metazoa; Arthropoda; Arachnida; Scorpiones; Vaejovidae. The record is from RNAcentral.
GUGGCCUCGUCUGUCUGAGGGUCG